Molecule: ribosomal RNA, 253 nt
Filed under: uncultured bacterium
Lineage: Bacteria
Description: partial 16S ribosomal RNA
Rfam family: Bacterial small subunit ribosomal RNA
Source: RNAcentral
UACGGAGGGUGCGAGCGUUGUUCGGAAUCAUUGGGCGUAAAGGGCGUGUAGGUGGUCUGUUAAGUCAUGUGUGAAAGCCCUCAGCUCAACUGGGGAAGUGCGCAUGAAACUGACAGGCUAGAGUACCGAAGAGGAGGGUGGAAUUCCCGGUGUAGCGGUGAAAUUCGUAGAUAUCGGGAGGAACACCUGCGGCGAAGGCGGGUAGCUGGGCCGACACUGACGCUGAGGCGCGAAAGCCAGGGGAGCGAACGGG